CGACCUCAGGUCAGGCGGGACUACCCG
Molecule: ribosomal RNA, 27 nt
Filed under: Menyanthes trifoliata
Lineage: Eukaryota; Viridiplantae; Streptophyta; Magnoliopsida; Asterales; Menyanthaceae
Description: partial 26S ribosomal RNA
Source: RNAcentral